Molecule: long non-coding RNA, 167 nt
Organism: Sander lucioperca (pikeperch)
Lineage: Eukaryota; Metazoa; Chordata; Actinopteri; Perciformes; Percidae
Exons: 5
Source: RefSeq, a predicted model, not a curated record
AAAACUCUUUCCCUACACGGCGCUCUUCCUGAUCACACGCUGCUCGCCCCGUUCGUAGACGAAGGAGGACUCGCAGGUCCUCCCAUGUCCACAGACGUAGGAGAGUUGUCAGACGCAGACGCUAGGCAACGCUAAUAAACAUGCAUUUUUAGGGCCCUAUCAAGUGU